ACGCUGGCGGCAGGCCUAACACAUGCAAGUCGAGCGGUAGAGAGAAGCUUGCUUCUCUUGAGAGCGGCGGACGGGUGAGUAGUGCCUAGGAAUCUGCCUGGUAGUGGGGGAUAACGUUCGGAAACGGACGCUAAUACCGCAUACGUCCUACGGGAGAAAGCAGGGGACCUUCGGGCCUUGCGCUAUCAGAUGAGCCUAGGUCGGAUUAGCUAGUUGGUGGGGUAAUGGCUCACCAAGGCGACGAUCCGUAACUGGUCUGAGAGGAUGAUCAGUCACACUGGAACUGAGACACGGUCCAGACUCCUACGGGAGGCAGCAGUGGGGAAUAUUGGACAAUGGGCGAAAGCCUGAUCCAGCCAUGCCGCGUGUGUGAAGAAGGCCUUCGGAUUGUAAAGCACUUUAAGUUGGGAGGAAGGGCAGUUGCCUAAUACGUAACUGUUUUGACGUUACCGACAGAAUAAGCACCGGCUAACUCUGUGCCAGCAGCCGCGGUAAUACAGAGGGUGCAAGCGUUAAUCGGAAUUACUGGGCGUAAAGCGCGCGUAGGUGGUUUGUUAAGUUGGAUGUGAGAUCCCCGGGUUCAACCUGGGAACUGCACUCAAAACUGACUGACUAGAGUAUGGUAGAGGGUGGUGGAAUUUCCUGUGUAGCGGUGAAAUGCGUAGAUAUAGGAAGGAACACCAGUGGCGAAGGCGACCACCUGGACUGAUACUGACACUGAGGUGCGAAAGCGUGGGGAGCAAAC
This 745-nucleotide ribosomal RNA is filed under the name uncultured bacterium. RNAcentral describes it as "bacterial SSU rRNA". It matches the Rfam family "Bacterial small subunit ribosomal RNA", at positions 33 to 773 of the family's 1533-position model. The record is from RNAcentral.